Molecule: ribosomal RNA, 253 nt
Filed under: uncultured bacterium
Lineage: Bacteria
Description: partial 16S ribosomal RNA
Rfam family: Bacterial small subunit ribosomal RNA
Source: RNAcentral
UACAUGUGGGGCAAGCGUUGUUCGGAAUUACUGGGCAUAAAGGGUGCGUAGGUGGUUUGUUAAGUCAGGGGUGAAAUCCCGCGGCCCAACCGUGGAACUGCCUUUGAUACUGAGGAUCUUGAGUUCGGGAGAGGUGAGUGGAACUGCGAGUGUAGAGGUGAAAUUCGUAGAUAUUCGCAAGAACACCAGUGGCGAAGGCGGCUCACUGGCCCGAUACUGACGCUGAGGCAUGAAAGCGUGGGGAGCAAACAGG